Vicia faba (fava bean) is the source of this 387-nucleotide non-coding RNA. NCBI's taxonomy places the organism in Eukaryota, Viridiplantae, Streptophyta, Magnoliopsida, Fabales, Fabaceae. The record is from the annotation of a GenBank genome assembly.
AUGAGAGAAGGUGGUGAGCAGCAGAUUGCGAAAGGAAAAGAGAUAUCAGAAUACAAACGAAACCCAGAGGCACCAAAACUCACCCUCUUCUGUUCAAACUUCAACCCAGCUCUCCCGUCCGCCUCCCUCACGCGAACACCCUUCCUCCGACUGUCUUCGCAACACUCCCGACCCACUACUCCUUCCGUUAGCCCGUCCGCGCUACGCAUCACCUCGUCAACCCAUUUCCGCAACCACAAUCCACGAACUCCCUCGGCUCUUCACUUUCGUUUCCUUUCCUCCACCCUUACUCCUUUCCUCUUUCGCUCAACAUCCACCUCAGACCACCAUCACCUCACGGUCACCGCCCCAUCACCAACCCACCGUGAACAACACACCUCACCGUGA